ACGAAGGGUGCAAGCGUUACUCGGAAUUACUGGGCGUAAAGCGUGCGUAGGUGGUUGUUUAAGUCUGUUGUGAAAGCCCUGGGCUCAACCUGGGAAUUGCAGUGGAUACUGGGCGACUAGAGUGUGGUAGAGGGUAGUGGAAUUCCCGGUGUAGCAGUGAAAUGCGUAGAGAUCGGGAGGAACAUCCAUGGCGAAGGCAGCUACCUGGACCAACACUGACACUGAGGCACGAAAGCGUGGGGAGCAAACAGGAUUA
Molecule: ribosomal RNA, 256 nt
Filed under: Stenotrophomonas rhizophila
Lineage: Bacteria; Pseudomonadati; Pseudomonadota; Gammaproteobacteria; Lysobacterales; Lysobacteraceae
Description: partial 16S ribosomal RNA
Rfam family: Bacterial small subunit ribosomal RNA
Source: RNAcentral